RNAcentral lists this long non-coding RNA (381 nucleotides) under Brassica napus (rape). Its description in RNAcentral is "long non-coding RNA (BNAP_LNC003850)". The record is from RNAcentral. Lineage: Eukaryota; Viridiplantae; Streptophyta; Magnoliopsida; Brassicales; Brassicaceae.
GUCAACUCGUUUAUAUUAUUGAUGCCCAGUGGACUAAACGCUUACAAGCAAUUUCAAGCCCAACAAAUAUUACAAUCAACCCAUAAGCCCAAAUGAAAGGAUAAUGAUGUUUGCAUGUGUGACACGUACUCCCUUUCGUGGGUCUGAUGCAUCGGGAAUCGGAAGACGAAGCUGUAGCCGGAAACCUACCGGAACAAAGAUCUCCCCCGCCGACUCGCUUGAUACUGCUUGUUCACUCUACUAUCCUUCAAAUCGCCAUCGAUCUUCAAGCACUCAUCUCAAAUCGCUAGUAAAGGAAUGCUGGUUAUUUGAUUCACCAUAAUAAAUCUGAAAAUAAAUUUAAAUAUAAUCAAUUAAAUCAGCUAAGAAUUUAAAAUAUUG